This 206-nucleotide ribosomal RNA is filed under the name uncultured bacterium. Its description in RNAcentral is "partial 16S ribosomal RNA". It matches the Rfam family "Bacterial small subunit ribosomal RNA", at positions 568 to 774 of the family's 1533-position model. The record is from RNAcentral.
UGCGUAGGUGUGAGGUAAGUCGGAUGUGAAAUCUCGGAGCUCAACUCCGAAAUGGCAUUGGAAACUACCUUGCUCGAGGGUUGGAGGGGGGACUGGAAUACUUGGUGUAGCAGUGAAAUGCGUAGAUAUCAAGUGGAACACCAGUGGCGAAGGCGAGUCCCUGGACAACUCCUGACACUGAGGCACGAAAGCUAGGGGAGCAAACA